GACGAACGCUGGCGGCGUGCCUAAUACAUGCAAGUCGAACGCAGUGGGGACGGGUGAGUAACACGUGGGUAACCUCCCAUCAGAGGGGAUAACACUUGGAAACAAGUGCUAAACCGAUACUGGUUGAUGGACCCGCGGUGCAUUAGCUAGUUGGUGGGGUAAAGGCUAACCAAGGCCACGAUGCAUAGCGGAGCUGAGAGGGGGACCGGCCACACUGGGACUGAGACACGGCCCAGACUCCUACGGGAGGCAGCAGUAGGGAAUCUUCGACAAUGGGCGAAAGUCUGAUGGAGCAACGCCGCGUGAGUGAAGAAGGUUUUCGGAUCGUAAAGCUCUGUUGUUGGAGAAGCGGUAUCCAACCAGAAAGCCACGGCUAACUCCGUGCCAGCAGCCGCGGUAAUUC
This 403-nucleotide ribosomal RNA is filed under the name uncultured bacterium. RNAcentral's name for it is "partial 16S ribosomal RNA". It matches the Rfam family "Bacterial small subunit ribosomal RNA", at positions 28 to 526 of the family's 1533-position model. The record is from RNAcentral.